CCACUAACCAACGCCCGCCGGUGGUCACUCAUACUCGAGUCAAAUUGCAGACAGGUCGGCCGGUUUGUCCAGACAGGAUGUCCUUCACGCUUGAAGGUCACGAGAAACAUUACGUAAAACUGGCAUGUGGUGGUUUAGAGGUUGGGUGAGAACGACACGUGUUUCAACAUUAUCAAGCAGACCCAUCCCCAGCAACGUCACCUGCAGAAGGAAAGG
This is a long non-coding RNA of Daphnia pulicaria, 216 nucleotides long. RefSeq lists it as uncharacterized. NCBI's taxonomy places the organism in Eukaryota, Metazoa, Arthropoda, Branchiopoda, Diplostraca, Daphniidae. The transcript has 3 exons. The record is from RefSeq and is a predicted model, not a curated record.